Molecule: ribosomal RNA, 254 nt
Filed under: uncultured bacterium
Lineage: Bacteria
Description: partial 16S ribosomal RNA
Rfam family: Bacterial small subunit ribosomal RNA
Source: RNAcentral
GCCGUAGGGGGCAAUCGUUGUCCGGAUUCAUUGGGCGUAAAGAGCUCGUAGGCGGCUUGGCAAGUCAGAUGUGAAACCCUCAGGCUUAACCUGGGGCCGCCAUCUGAUACUGCUAUGGCUAGAGUCCGGUAGGGGAUCGUGGAAUUCCUGGAGUAGCGGUGAAAUGCACAGAUCUCAGGAGGAACACCAGUGGCGAAGGCGGCGAUCUGGGCCGGUACUGACGCUGAGGAGCGAAAGCGUGGGGAGAAAACAGG